GAAAUGCGAUACGUAGUGUGAAUUGCAGAAUUCAGUGAAUCAUCGAAUCUUUGAACGCACAUUGCGCCUCCUGGUAUUCCGGGAGGCAUGCCUGUUCGAGCGUCAUCAAACAAACCUCAAGCACUUUUGCUUGGUAUUGGAGAUGGAGGAAGCCGCAAGGUUCGCCUCCACUCCGAAAUUCAACGGCAGAGAGCUCUCGGUGCGAUUGCGUAGUAAGUAACUAUUUCGCGGUCACCUGGAAGCCUUCUCGCCAUAGAACCCCCAUUUUUCUUAGUUUGACCUCGGAUCAGGUAAGGAUACCCGCUGAACUUAA
This 313-nucleotide unclassified non-coding RNA is filed under the name uncultured Ascomycota. RNAcentral describes it as "sequence contains ITS1". The stretch from base 1 to 105 matches the Rfam family "5.8S ribosomal RNA", at positions 50 to 154 of the family's 154-position model. The record is from RNAcentral. Lineage: Eukaryota; Fungi; Ascomycota.